This is a non-coding RNA of Macaca mulatta (Rhesus monkey), 651 nucleotides long. The record is from RefSeq and is a predicted model, not a curated record. NCBI's taxonomy places the organism in Eukaryota, Metazoa, Chordata, Mammalia, Primates, Cercopithecidae.
ACAAAACAAUGGGCUACAACUUACGUCUACUUUUGCAUGAACCCGCUAACCUGCCAUGUGAGGGGUAGAUUAAAGUCACCCAGGCCCCCAUCCUCCCGGCUGGAGGGUCGAUGAGGCCUGGAUGGGGAAGUGGAGAAAGCCGUGAAAGGUGCCAGGUGCCGCCCUAACCAACCCAAACACGGCCCUUUUGGGGCAGCUGCAGGAGGCCUGUGACGCAGUUUCCGGGACACCAGGAUUGGAUGCAGCUGAGCAAGCCUCACGCGCCCACCAGCUCACCUGGCCCCCAGCCCUCCCUCCAGGCUGCCUCCCCGCUAGGCAGACCGGGAAGGCCCAGUCUUCGAAGGCUCUGCCGCCAUCGCUGUCUUCUUCUUCUGGAACAACCGCCGAGUGCUAGUCCCGGCAGCCCUCGCGGCAGCAACCAAUCAUUGGAGGCCAGCACCUGCAGCUAGCCAAACAGUGGGCCGGGAGGUUAAAGCCCGCCCCCAAGCUUGCUCCUGAUAGGGCUGGGGCUGUUUUCCGUUAUCCUGGGAGGUACCACUCCUAGAAGGGGCGCCUUGUGGCCGUUAAGGGCAGUUCACUUUUACAUUCUACCCAAAGAGUCACCACUUUAGCGCCUUUAAUCAUCACAAAUUAAAAUGUCGCAUAUUAUUA